This 290-nucleotide RNase P RNA is filed under the name unidentified bacterium SM-A42. Its description in RNAcentral is "partial RNAase P". It matches the Rfam family "Bacterial RNase P class A", at positions 43 to 352 of the family's 367-position model. From Rfam's summary of the family: Ribonuclease P (RNase P) is a ubiquitous endoribonuclease, found in archaea, bacteria and eukarya as well as chloroplasts and mitochondria. Its best characterised activity is the generation of mature 5'-ends of tRNAs by cleaving the 5'-leader elements of precursor-tRNAs. The record is from RNAcentral.
GAGGAAAGUCCGGGCACUAUAGGGCGGAGUGCCAGGUAACACCUGGGCGGCGUGAGCCGACGGCAAGUGCAGCAGAGAGAAGACCGCCUGACUCGUCAGGUAAGGGUGAAAGGGUGCGGUAAGAGCGCACCGCGCGAGUGGUAACACUUCGUGGCAAGGUAAACCCCACUCAGUGCAAAACCAAAUAGGGGAGAGAUGGUGCGGCCCGCACUUCUCCCGGGUAGGUUGCUUGAGGUAUGUGGUGACACAUAUCCCAGAUGAAUGACUAUCCAAGACAGAACCCGGCUUAC